AUGUAACUUCCUGCCAUGAUGUUCUCACAUAAAGUGAGGAUUUGGAAAUACACACAUUCCUGACUGAACUGUUCCUGUGGCAGCAUGUACGUUUCGAAAAGGGUUUGGUGUGAGGAGUGGGGUUUGGUGUGAGAAGAAGAGAUACUGCAGAUGAUCUUCUCCAACAAUACCACCGCCCGCCUGCCAGACCAUCUCACAAGACCUCCUCCCCUUCAUUACUUCCAUUAUAAGGGACUCCAUGACAUGACAUUACAUGGAGGCGAUCCACACCUUCUAUGCAGACUCUCCACUGGUGGAUUCUCUUCUGUUCUCCUUCCAUGUCUGCUCUCUCAGUAAGUUCAUAUUCUCAGUAUCAGCUCUCCCAGCAGUCUCCUACCUUAAAGCAUUUAUCACACCCUGCUGUGGACCAUGCUCCUUUCCACUGGCUUCCUUCGACUGGACCCACCAUCAAUCAAGGUUCAAGGAAGAUAUGCAUCAAGACUCCUGCACCCAGGUUGUGUAAUGAACUCCCUCUGGCUGCAGAUCAGCUGAGUCACUGGCUUCAAAUGAAGACUAAAGACCUACUUCUUCCCCAAGCACUUAAAGGAAUGCCAAUUUAAAAAGAAAAAAAAUCGCUUGACUUGUGUGUUUUCUUUUCUUGCUUUACGAACGAUCAGGGUUUUAGAUUGAUGGUACUCUUAGUCCCUGACAUAGUGAACAAGUAUGAAGAUGUUUCUGAUAGAGACACAAAACACUUCUAUAAGUCUCUCUGGAUAACGGCAUCUGCUAAAUGCUGUAAAUGCGAAUGUAAUUAAUGUGAGUUAAUUAUAGAAGCAUUGUUGUGAAUGAUCAGGACGAGGCGUGAGAAGCAGUGAAGGGGUAAUUCUGUCUCCUCAGAACUGAGUGCUGGAGUUAAAACAUGUGGAUCUGUGUCUUAUGCUUCAUCUUAUUGACAUCUUAAUUACUGAGUGGAGAAGGUGAGCGCAGAGCUGUUAUUCCUCACACCACCACGUCUUCUUUUUCUUCUUCUUCUUCUCUUCUCCUCCUCCUCCUCUUCCUGGUUGCUGUCUUUCCUUCUGAAUGCCACUUUUUAUCAUCAGAAAUUUCAUUCCUCAGGUGGAAGGUGAGCUCAGAAUAAACAGAUAGCCUGUUUGGCUAAUCAGAAUAUAUAAAGUGGAGGUCCUGUUUCUCAGUCAAUCUCCAUUUCUGUGAAAGAGCAUUGAUCAGUCACUGCAGUAGAGUUAACGCGUAUCAUAUUUCAAUGUUUCCAGCAUGUUAGCCAGGAAGUAAAGCCUCCAACAACAGGAUACAGCCAUGCCCAAGAGCAAACCCCACUGAUGCUUAUUACCUUAUAUACAUUUUGCUGCUACAUCUGUGAAAUGACAUUAAUAAUUAAAGCAGAAUGAUCAGUACUUUAAUCUUCCCUUUUAGCAGCUUUAAUCAGGAUGUAGUUAAAUCUCACCCCUGUUUUACACUCUGUGGUGCUGAUUGAAAAUUUAUCCUCGUCUCAAAUGCAGUGACUUUUAACCUCCCGUGCAAAAAUAAAUAAACACACAAUCGUACAAGCUUCAGUGUUGUCUAGUCUGCACUUUUGAUAGGCUGUCUGAAAAUGUUGAGUUUUCUAAUAAAAUGAGCAUGGAUAAAAUGUCCAUGCUGUUAGAGUUCAUUAGCGAGGCUAAGCUUAUCCUGUGCUUUAUUUAGUGAAGUGUUUAAUGAAUGCUAUGCUAACAGCAGGGGGUCAGUGUGGAGUGCAUUAACAUCUCUUCAACACUGUGUGUGUGUGUCUGUGAGGUAUGCAUUACACUGAGAGGGACUGAGAUGGAGCUUUUUAACUGAUUACUGCGUUGGCAAUUAGUGUUAGCCGCUGAUGCUAAAGAAGUAAAGGGCAAUAAAACCAUCUGUGUGCAGGAUUCCAUUAAGCCGAGUGCUACCACACACACACACACACACACACACACACACACACACACACACACACACACACACACACACUCGGUUGUAGAUAAAUCAGUAGGCAUUAGGAGGAGGAGAGGAUGGUACUUUUCAAACAUGGCAGGUGGGUCAGAAGUGAAAAAUUCACAUCACAGGUCAAAUCUGACUUGUUUAGUUUGACUGUAGUUACAGACAUACUGUGCGCUGUUUAGCGCAGGACAUGAGCUACUGUUACCAACCUGAAGUGGAUUAUUUUCCUAUAACAGCGUAUAGGAAGUGUACUAUACCACAGCAAUCUGGUAAUGAUUACAAUUUUAUAUUUAUUAAAGAACCACAUCAUACAUAGUUACAUUUAACGUUGUGGAACCUUGAUGGAACAAGUUACUUCCUGUUUUCACUUACAGUCAGGUCCAGAAAUAUUUUAGCUUUCAUUGGGGUUGAAAUUAAAUAAUGGUUAUGGGAACAAAGUGCAGACUUUAACUUGAGGGAUUUACAUCCAUAUCGGGUGAAGGCAGUAGGAAUUACAGAACUCUUUAUAUACGCUUUCCUCCCUUUUUAAAGGACCAACAAUAACCAGAUGAACAGAAUUAUAAAUUAUAUUGUAAUUUUUAAAACUUGGUUGCAAGUCCUUUUGGCAAUUUUCUAAGGGAGGCAUGGUGGCUUAGUGGGUAGAACAUUAGUCUCGUACCUCCAGGGUUUGGCAUUUGAUUCCCGUCUCCUCUCUGAGUGUGUGGAGAUUGCAUGCUCUCCCCAUGCUUUUGGGGUUCCCUCCAGGUACUCCAGUUUCCUCCCCCAGUCCAAAGACAUGUGUUGUAGGCUGACUGGUAUUUCCAAAUUGUCCGGUGUGUAUGUGUGGUUGUGCCCUGUGAUGGAUUAGCACCCCAACCAGGGUGUCUCCCACCUCAUGCCCAAGUUCCUUGGUGUAUUCUAUUUAGUGCUACAGAAAAUAAAUGGACAAUUUCUAAUUGUUGAAAUGACUGUAAGGAAAUGAAACAAAUAUAUUUCAGAUUUUUGGUGUGACAUUAGCCUGGGGGCUGAGAGAGAUGAGUCUUUAAUCUCUGUAUAUAUUACUCUGUGUGUGUGUGUGUGUGUGUGUGUGUGUGUGUGUGUGUGUGUGUGUGUGUGUGUGUGAAGUCUGAAAUGAUCAAAGAUGAGCUGUGAGUUCAGAAUCUUUGUUUCUGUCAAUCUUUAUUUCUCUGGCUUUUAGACACACACACACACACACACACACACACACACACACACACACACACACACACACACACACACACACACACACACAGAGAGACUGUGUAGAUGGCAAAAGAGGACAUGAUGGAUUCUAAUAAUUAAUAACAAAUAAAAACAGAACUUUGUUCUAGAGUAGCAUAAAACGGGUAUAUUAACAUAUAUUAAGGCUGUGUGUUUAUUAAUAAUAAGUUUAUUGGGAUAAAUUCGCACUUUUAAUAUCUGUAUACGGUGUUGAUAUUUCUUUAAAGUUGCUUUAAGACAAUGUCUAUUGUAAAAAGUGCUAUACAAAUAAAAUUGAAUUGAAUUGAAUUUAAUUAAUAAAUAACUCAUACAUUCUUUACACACUAUUUACACACUCUUUAAACACUAUUUACACACAAUUUACACACUGUUUACAGACUCUUUACACUAUACACUCUUGACACACUCUUUACACACUCUUGACACACUAUUUACACACUCUUUACACAUGCUUUACACACUCUUGACACACUCUUGACAAACUCUUGACACACGCUUUACACACUGUUUACACACUCUUUACACACUGUUUACACACUCUUUACACACUCUUUACCUAGCUUUACACACUGUUUACACACUCUUGACACACUCUUUACAUACCCUUUACACACUGUUUACACACUCUUUACACACUGUUUAGACACUCUUGAUACACGCUUUACACAUUUACACACUCUUGACACACUCUUUACACACUGUUUACACACGCUUUACACACUGUUUACACACGCUUUACACACUGUUUACACACGCUUUACACACUGUUUACACACGCUUUACACACUGUUUGCACACUCUUUACACACUGUUUACACACGCUUUACACCCUCUUUACACACGCUUUACACACUCUUUGCACCCUCUUGACACACUCUUUACACACUCUUUAAACACUCUUUACACUCACACACCUGAUCUGAUUUUAAUCUGUAAUGGAGUGAGAGCAUUUAAACCUGAAAUCAUUAAAGGAGGUCACAACAAUGUCUACUAUAUUCAGGUGAUGUUUGUAAGCAGUGUGUAUGUAAACAUUUUCUCUGAGUUGAAAGAAUUCAGGAGCAUUCAGUAUGCUGAAUGCUGAGUCCAGAUCUUUACUCAUUUACUGGGCUGUCUGUUGUACAUUUAUAGUGUAUGUGUGUGUGAGUGUGUGUGAGCGUGUGUGAGUAUGUGUGUAUGUAAGUGUGAGGGUGUGUGUGUCGGGGGGGGAGUGUUUAUCCUGAUAAUCUCUGACAGCUGGACACAUUAGAGCUCAGACUCUGAUUUUUAAGAUGGUUAGAAAUGAUGAAAAGUGUGAGAGUUAUGCGGUGAGGUACAGCAGGAGGCAGGACGGAGUUGAUUUAUUAUUUAUUAUCUAUUUUACAGAUGCUUUUAUCUGAAACCACUUACACCUGAGAGAGACAGUUCAGUCUAAACACAGAGCUGAGUGCUUUGGUGGGUUAGGGUCUUAUUCAAGAACUUAGAAGUAGAUCUUUGACAAUCCGGGAAUUUUAACUCAUAAACUUUCAUACUAUUAUCUCAGAACCUAAACCAUUGAGACACCCUAACCUGGAUUUCCAGGAGCAAGAUUUGACCCUGGAAAAAACACAGGGUCCUGAAAAUACUGGGUUCUCCAAAUUUAGACCUUUCUGGACAAUGGAAACAAAGGUUCUAAGAAUAUACAGUUCUGUCAAUAAAGGACCUUCUGGGAAUAUAGGACCAUGGAAACAUGGUGGAUGGAAUAUAGGGCUUUUUGAAAAAGAGGAUCCAAGGCAUAGAUGGAAUAUAGAAUUCUGGGAAUGUAAUAAUUGGGAAAUAUAGGUUUCUGGGAUUAUAGAGUUCUGGAAUAUAUAUAGAAACCUGGUAAAAUGGUUCCAGGAAUACAGUACUUGGAAAAAAAAAAAUAUUAUUGGAAUACAGGACCAUGGGAAUACAGAGUUCUGGAAACAACCCUAACCCUAAUAUAAUUCUCAGGAAUGCAGAUCCAGUCCUAAUUGGUGUGAUUCAAUUUGUAGGUUUUGCUGCUUGUGUGAUUUUUUGUUAUCUCCAGAUCAUUAGGAAGAUAAACACUGAUCUUGGGAUAAUUUAAGAGGAUAAAAUGUAUUCCUGCUCUGAUAAUCUUUAGAUUUCUGUGUGUGGUGUGUGAUUUAGAUUUACAUAUUGACUAAUCCAUAAUGAGAACAUUCCGCUGUGUGUUUAGUUUACAACCCCAAUUCCAAAAAAGUUGGGACACUGCGUAAAAUUUAAAUAAAAACAGAAUGCAUUGAUUUUCAAAUCUCAUAAACCCAUAUGUUAUUCACAAUGGUUAAACUGAGGAAACUGAGGAAAUGUACAUUUUAAGAAAAAAAUAAGGUAAUUAUGAAUUUUAUGCCCGUAGCACGUCUCAACAAAGUUGGGAUGAGGCAACAAAAGGCUGGAAAGGUAAGUGUUAGUAAAAAGAAACAGCUGGAGGUUAAUUGGGAACAGGUCAGUAAGAUGAUUGGGUAUAAAAAGAGGAUCUUAGAGAGGCGGAGUCUUUCAGAAAUAAAGAUGGGCAGAUGUUCACCAUUUUGCGAAAAACUGCGUCUACAAUUUGCGGAAUAAAUUGAGAAUAAUGUUCAUCAAUGUAAAAUUGCAAAGACUAUGAAUGUCUCAUCAUCUACAGCACAUAAUAUCAUCAAAAGAUCCCGAGAAUCUGAAGAAAUCUCUGUGUGCAAGGGAGGAAGGUGAAAAUCAAUAUUGCAUGCCCAUGUUCUUCAGGCCCAAGGGCAGCAGUGCAUUAAAAACAGGCAUGAUUCUGUAAUGGAAAUUUAAAUUUACAUUUACAUUUAUUCAUUUAGCAGAUGCUUUUAUCCAAAGUGACUUACAAAUGAGGAAAUACAAGCAAAGCGAUAUAUCAAGUGGAGAACAAUACAAGUAGUGCUACUAUGCAAUAUUUAUAAUUGAGUUCUAGAGAAGCAAAGUGGACAGAGUAGAGGUGUAAGAGUCAGUGCAAGGUGUUUUUUUUAUUUUUAAAAAACAAUAAUGUGGGGUUGGCAUGUUAGGGGUUAGUUGGCUGUAAGUGGGUCUUUAGUUGUUUUGUUAAGAUGGUGACAGAUUCUGUGGUCCGGAUAUGAGGUUGGAAGUUCAUUUCACCACCAGGUUCUGGAAAGGGACCUUGAGCCAAGUUGAGUAGGCACUAUUAAGUGUCGGUCAUUAAUUGAUCACAGAUUGCGUGAGGGAACGUAAGUCUUCAGGAGAGUGUUGAGGUAGGAGGGUGCUGUUCCAGACAAGGUCUUGUAGGUGAGCAUCAAGGCCUUGAAUUUGAUACGGAUGGCUACAGGAAACCAGUGGAGGGAGAUGAAGAGGGAUGUGACAUGGGUUAUUUGGGGCUGGUUGAAGACGAGGUGUGCUGCUGCAUUCUGAAUCAUCUAAAGGGGUUUGAUGGAGCUGCUGGGAGGCCCGAGAGUAGUGCAUUGCAAUAGUCCAGUUUUGAGAUAUCAAGAGCCUGGACUAGUAGCUGUGUAGUUAGAGUGGAACAUAGCAUGUCAGUUGUGUUGUUUAAGCCUAGUGAGGAGAGGUGGCCAUUAGAGGGAUGUGAAGUUGUGACUAUGGAGGAGAAGUGUGAGAGUGAAAGUGAGUGAAGAUUGCGACGAAAGGAGAUAGAGAGUGGAGACAGUGAGGGGCGUUAAGGGAGAGAAAUAGAAAACUGAAUAAAGAAAUGGUCAGAAGUGUAGAGAGGAGUAAUGAGAAUAUUGAGUGUGGUGUAGUUAUGUGUGAGGAUGAGGUGGAGCUGCUUGCCUGCUUUGUGAGUCGCUGGUGUGGCGAACUGCUUGAGGUCAAACUUAGGCAGGAGAGCAAGCAAAUCAACUGCAUGCAACUUGUCUAGGUGAAUGUUGAAGUCACCGAGGACCACAAGAGGAGUUCUGUCAUCUGGAAUGGUGGACUGUAGCAUGUCAAAUUCUUCGUUGAACUUCCCCAGUUGACCUGGAGGAUGAUAAAUAACAAGAUAGUGCAUUAUCGCAGUGUCAGUAAUAGUAACAGCAUGCAAUUCAAAGGAAGUGUUGGAGCAAGAGGGAGAAAGACAGGUAAAUUUCCAUGUUUUGGAGAGAAGCAAACCUGUACCACCCCCUCGUCAGUUGGGGCGCACGGUAUGGGAGAAGUUGAAGUUGGAGGCUGGGGCAGCGGGUGUGGCAGUGUUCUCAGUAUGGAUCCAGAUCUCAGCCAGAGUCAGCACACUGAGGUUGGAGUGGCUGGAAAAGGCAGGAAUGAAAUCUCCCUUGUUGACAGUAGAUUGACAGUUCCAAAGCCCGAUUGAGAAUGAGAAGGAAUCUGGAGAGGCCACAUGCAGAGAGCGUACUGUAGGUUGUCGACAUUGCUUACUUUUCUAGGAGUGUGCCAUGGUCUGCGUGUGUGAUAAAUAACAGAGAUAAACUGAUGACACAUGUUAAUGUGUAAACAGAUAAUUAGCAUGGGGAAAAGAGAGGAGGAAAAGGUGGAGAGAAUGAGAAAGUGAUACUUAGCAGCGUGAGUCUUGUCUUGUCGGUGUCGUUGCCCGGUGGACUCGUGCAGGUAGACUCGCAGGUCUUUACACAAGCGCGGUUUUCACAAGAGCUCAGGCUUCACACAACGAGGGCUAACACUUCUGCCUCAGCAUUUCCUAUUACUUAAGUGCUUCACAGGUGAGCACGCCUCUUUAAUUAGCAAAACAAAGUCUAAUAGCAUGAAUGAGCAACUCACUGCAUGGUCUCAGAAACACUUCCAGAACUCAUUGUCUAUGAACACAGUUUGCCGUGCCAUCCUCAAACGCUGGUUAAAGCUUCAUCAUGCAAAGAAGAAGCCAUAUGUGAACAUGAUACAGAAACGCUGCCGUCUUCUCUGGGCCAAAGCUCAUUUAAAAUGGACCGAGGCAGAGUGGAAAACUGUUCUGUAGUCAGACGAAUCUAAACGUGAAAUUCUUUUUGGAAACCAUGGAUGCCGCAUCCCCUAAACUAAAGAGAAGUAAAGAGGAGAGGGACCAUCCGGCUUUUUAUCAGUGCUCAGUACAAGAGCCUGCAUCUCUGAUGGUAUAAGGGUGCAUUAGUGCCUAUGGAAUGGGCAGCUUGGACAUCUGGAAAGGCACCAUCAAUGCUGAAAGGUAUAUCGAGGUUUUACUGCAACAUCUGCUUCCAUCCAGAUUCCAUCCCAUCUUUACUUCUGAUGUUUUUGUGCCACACGCCCGCAGAAAGAGGAAGCAGAGUUGAGGAGCAGGGUGAACAGAUAAAGCUUCACACCCACCGCCAUCUGCCUAAAACACCACCAUUUACACUGAAAACACAUGAGACAUUCUUAAACUUCUCUACAAUCUGUUAUUGUCUUUGGCAGAGAGUUACACUAUUAUUAUUAAUAUAAUGUAAAAAUAAUAAGAAGAAGCAGAAGAAGAAGAAGAAGAAAAACAAGAAUCACCUUCAGUACUGGACCUGUAAUGGUUAUUAGCAGGUUUAUUUUUCACUUCACAAUAUUAUCAUUUUCUUAUUUUUUAGAACAUAAUUUCUUGCUUCCACCACUAAUGACAUCUACUGACAUGUGUGUUCAUAUUAAUUAUUUCUCAGUAAAUCCAAUGAAGUUUUCACAGUGCUCACACUGACAGCUCUCAUCUGAGAGAAAAAUGCAGUUUAAAGUUUAUAUGAAGGUUCUCUUGAAUUCUUAUUGUACAGGGACUCUUUAAAUUGUUGUAUAAAACAUGGAGAAUCUUUAAUAAAUGUCACUAAAGACAAAACAAUGAGCUUAAAAUGUCGUCCAGUGGGACACCAAUGAGCAGAUACCAUCGGACAUCUGGGACUGAUCUG
Ictalurus punctatus (channel catfish) is the source of this 8924-nucleotide long non-coding RNA. RefSeq lists it as uncharacterized. The transcript has 3 exons. The record is from RefSeq and is a predicted model, not a curated record. NCBI's taxonomy places the organism in Eukaryota, Metazoa, Chordata, Actinopteri, Siluriformes, Ictaluridae.